UACGUAGGGUGCAAGCGUUGUCCGGAAUUAUUGGGCGUAAAGGGCUCGUAGGCGGUUCAUCGCGUCGGGAGUGAAAAGCUGGGGCUCAACCCCAGUCCUGCUUUCGAUACGGGUGGACUAGAGGUAUGCAGGGGAGAACGGAAUUCCUGGUGUAGCGGUGAAAUGCGCAGAUAUCAGGAGGAACACCGGUGGCGAAGGCGGUUCUCUGGGCAUUACCUGACGCUGAGGAGCGAAAGCGUGGGGAGCAAACAGG
RNAcentral lists this ribosomal RNA (253 nucleotides) under uncultured bacterium. RNAcentral describes it as "partial 16S ribosomal RNA". It matches the Rfam family "Bacterial small subunit ribosomal RNA", at positions 524 to 776 of the family's 1533-position model. The record is from RNAcentral.